Regulatory RNA element from Gasterosteus aculeatus (three-spined stickleback), 66 nucleotides. It matches the Rfam family "Selenocysteine insertion sequence 1". Rfam says of the family: The incorporation of selenocysteine into a protein sequence is directed by an in-frame UGA codon (usually a stop codon) within the coding region of the mRNA. Selenoprotein mRNAs contain a conserved secondary structure in the 3' UTR that is required for the distinction of UGA stop from UGA selenocysteine. The selenocysteine insertion sequence (SECIS) is around 60 nt in length and adopts a hairpin structure which is sufficiently well-defined and conserved to act as a computational screen for selenoprotein genes. The record is from Rfam. NCBI's taxonomy places the organism in Eukaryota, Metazoa, Chordata, Actinopteri, Perciformes, Gasterosteidae.
UUUACAGCAUGACGACAUCCUCCGAAACCACGUCCGUUGUGAGGGGGCUGUCUGAUGAAGCGUAAA